Molecule: non-coding RNA, 136 nt
Organism: Brachypodium distachyon (stiff brome)
Lineage: Eukaryota; Viridiplantae; Streptophyta; Magnoliopsida; Poales; Poaceae
Source: Rfam
AAACUACUCCCUCCGUCCCAUAUUAAGGGAUGCAUCUUUGUCUAGAUAUGCAUAUAUCUAGACAUGUUCUAUUGUGUAGGUACAUGCGUAUCUAGACAAAGUUGCGACACAUAAUAUGGGACGGAGGGAGUACUAA